GGGUUGUGAGGUUAAGCGACUAAGCGUACACGGUGGAUGCCCUGGCAGUCAGAGGCGAUGAAGGACGUGCUAAUCUGCGAUAAGCGUCGGUAAGGUGAUAUGAACCGUUAUAACCGGCGAUUUCCGAAUGGGGAAACCCAGUGUGAUUCGUCACACUAUCAUUAACUGAAUCCAUAGGUUAAUGAGGCGAACCGGGGGAACUGAAACAUCUAAGUACCCCGAGGAAAAGAAAUCAACCGAGAUUCCCCCAGUAGCGGCGAGCGAACGGGGAGCAGCCCAGAGCCUGAAUCAGUGUGUGUGUUAGUGGAAGCGUCUGGAAAGGCGCGCGAUACAGGGUGACAGCCCCGUACACAAAAAUGCACAUGCUGUGAGCUCGAUGAGUAGGGCGGGACACGUGGUAUCCUGUCUGAAUAUGGGGGGACCAUCCUCCAAGGCUAAAUACUCCUGACUGACCGAUAGUGAACCAGUACCGUGAGGGAAAGGCGAAAAGAACCCCGGCGAGGGGAGUGAAAAAGAACCUGAAACCGUGUACGUACAAGCAGUGGGAGCACGCUUAGGCGUGUGACUGCGUACCUUUUGUAUAAUGGGUCAGCGACUUAUAUUCUGUAGCAAGGUUAACCGAAUAGGGGAGCCGAAGGGAAACCGAGUCUUAACUGGGCGUUAAGUUGCAGGGUAUAGACCCGAAACCCGGUGAUCUAGCCAUGGGCAGGUUGAAGGUUGGGUAACACUAACUGGAGGACCGAACCGACUAAUGUUGAAAAAUUAGCGGAUGACUUGUGGCUGGGGGUGAAAGGCCAAUCAAACCGGGAGAUAGCUGGUUCUCCCCGAAAGCUAUUUAGGUAGCGCCUCGUGAAUUCAUCUCCGGGGGUAGAGCACUGUUUCGGCAAGGGGGUCAUCCCGACUUACCAACCCGAUGCAAACUGCGAAUACCGGAGAAUGUUAUCACGGGAGACACACGGCGGGUGCUAACGUCCGUCGUGAAGAGGGAAACAACCCAGACCGCCAGCUAAGGUCCCAAAGUCAUGGUUAAGUGGGAAACGAUGUGGGAAGGCCCAGACAGCCAGGAUGUUGGCUUAGAAGCAGCCAUCAUUUAAAGAAAGCGUAAUAGCUCACUGGUCGAGUCGGCCUGCGCGGAAGAUGUAACGGGGCUAAACCAUGCACCGAAGCUGCGGCAGCGACGCUGAUGCGUUGUUGGGUAGGGGAGCGUUCUGUAAGCCUGUGAAGGUGUACUGUGAGGUAUGCUGGAGGUAUCAGAAGUGCGAAUGCUGACAUAAGUAACGAUAAAGCGGGUGAAAAGCCCGCUCGCCGGAAGACCAAGGGUUCCUGUCCAACGUUAAUCGGGGCAGGGUGAGUCGACCCCUAAGGCGAGGCCGAAAGGCGUAGUCGAUGGGAAACAGGUUAAUAUUCCUGUACUUGGUGUUACUGCGAAGGGGGGACGGAGAAGGCUAUGUUGGCCGGGCGACGGUUGUCCCGGUUUAAGCGUGUAGGCUGGUUUUCCAGGCAAAUCCGGAAAAUCAAGGCUGAGGCGUGAUGACGAGGCACUACGGUGCUGAAGCAACAAAUGCCCUGCUUCCAGGAAAAGCCUCUAAGCAUCAGGUAACAUCAAAUCGUACCCCAAACCGACACAGGUGGUCAGGUAGAGAAUACCAAGGCGCUUGAGAGAACUCGGGUGAAGGAACUAGGCAAAAUGGUGCCGUAACUUCGGGAGAAGGCACGCUGAUAUGUAGGUGAAGUCCCUCGCGGAUGGAGCUGAAAUCAGUCGAAGAUACCAGCUGGCUGCAACUGUUUAUUAAAAACACAGCACUGUGCAAACACGAAAGUGGACGUAUACGGUGUGACGCCUGCCCGGUGCCGGAAGGUUAAUUGAUGGGGUUAGCGCAAGCGAAGCUCUUGAUCGAAGCCCCGGUAAACGGCGGCCGUAACUAUAACGGUCCUAAGGUAGCGAAAUUCCUUGUCGGGUAAGUUCCGACCUGCACGAAUGGCGUAAUGAUGGCCAGGCUGUCUCCACCCGAGACUCAGUGAAAUUGAACUCGCUGUGAAGAUGCAGUGUACCCGCGGCAAGACGGAAAGACCCCGUGAACCUUUACUAUAGCUUGACACUGAACAUUGAGCCUUGAUGUGUAGGAUAGGUGGGAGGCUUUGAAGUGUGGACGCCAGUCUGCAUGGAGCCGACCUUGAAAUACCACCCUUUAAUGUUUGAUGUUCUAACGUUGACCCGUAAUCCGGGUUGCGGACAGUGUCUGGUGGGUAGUUUGACUGGGGCGGUCUCCUCCUAAAGAGUAACGGAGGAGCACGAAGGUUGGCUAAUCCUGGUCGGACAUCAGGAGGUUAGUGCAAUGGCAUAAGCCAGCUUGACUGCGAGCGUGACGGCGCGAGCAGGUGCGAAAGCAGGUCAUAGUGAUCCGGUGGUUCUGAAUGGAAGGGCCAUCGCUCAACGGAUAAAAGGUACUCCGGGGAUAACAGGCUGAUACCGCCCAAGAGUUCAUAUCGACGGCGGUGUUUGGCACCUCGAUGUCGGCUCAUCACAUCCUGGGGCUGAAGUAGGUCCCAAGGGUAUGGCUGUUCGCCAUUUAAAGUGGUACGCGAGCUGGGUUUAGAACGUCGUGAGACAGUUCGGUCCCUAUCUGCCGUGGGCGCUGGAGAACUGAGGGGGGCUGCUCCUAGUACGAGAGGACCGGAGUGGACGCAUCACUGGUGUUCGGGUUGUCAUGCCAAUGGCACUGCCCGGUAGCUAAAUGCGGAAGAGAUAAGUGCUGAAAGCAUCUAAGCACGAAACUUGCCCCGAGAUGAGUUCUCCCUGACUCCUUGAGAGUCCUGAAGGAACGUUGAAGACGACGACGUUGAUAGGCCGGGUGUGUAAGCGCAGCGAUGCGUUGAGCUAACCGGUACUAAUGAACCGUGAGGCUUAACCUUACAACGCCGAAGGUGUUU
Molecule: ribosomal RNA, 2931 nt
Filed under: Escherichia coli
Lineage: Bacteria; Pseudomonadati; Pseudomonadota; Gammaproteobacteria; Enterobacterales; Enterobacteriaceae
Description: 23S ribosomal RNA
Rfam family: Bacterial large subunit ribosomal RNA
Source: RNAcentral